Molecule: transfer RNA, 73 nt
Filed under: Desmospora activa DSM 45169
Lineage: Bacteria; Bacillati; Bacillota; Bacilli; Caryophanales; Thermoactinomycetaceae
Rfam family: tRNA
About the family: Transfer RNA (tRNA) molecules are approximately 80 nucleotides in length. Their secondary structure includes four short double-helical elements and three loops (D, anti-codon, and T loops).
Source: Rfam by way of RNAcentral
GCUCCCAUAGCUCAGUUGGUAGAGCGCUUCCAUGGUAAGGAAGAGGUCAUCAGUUCGAGUCUGAUUGGGAGCU